This 497-nucleotide ribosomal RNA is filed under the name uncultured bacterium. RNAcentral's name for it is "partial 16S ribosomal RNA". It matches the Rfam family "Bacterial small subunit ribosomal RNA", at positions 28 to 507 of the family's 1533-position model. The record is from RNAcentral.
GAUGAACGCUGGCGGCGUGCCUAAUACAUGCAAGUCGAGCGAACGGACGAGAUUCUUGCUUCUCUGAUGUUAGCGGCGGACGGGUGAGUAACACGUGGAUAACCUACCUAUAAGACUUGGAUAACUUCGGGAAACCGUAGCUAAUACCGGAUACUUUUUUGAACCUCAUUGUUCAAAAGUGAAAGACGCUCUUGCUGUCCCUUAUAUAUUGAUCCGCGGUGCAUUAGCUAGUUGGUAAGGUAACGGCUUACCAAGGCAACGAUUCAUAGCCGACCUGAGAAGGUGAGCGAGCAGGCUGGAGCUGAGACACGGUCCAGAGGCCUACGGGAGGCAGCAGUAAGGAAUCUUGCGCGAUGGGCGAAAGAAUGACGGAGAAACGCCGCAAGAGUGAUGAAGGUAUUCGGAUCGUAAGACGCUGUUAUUAGGGAAGAAAAGAUGUGUAAGUAGCGAUGCACAUCGUGACGGUACCUGAACAAGAAGCCACGGCUAAAUACGUG